UGCAUCUGAAAUCAGGCAAGAUCACCCGCUGAACUUAAGCAUAUUACUAAGCGGAGGAAAAGAAAUUAACGAAGAUUGCCUCAGUAGCGGCGAGUGAAGCGGCAAUAGCUCAAGUUUAGAAUCUGUAGUCGUCUCGGCUACCGAAUUGUAAUCUAAAGGGGUUAACUAAAGGGGAAGUUGAGGCAUAAGUUCCUUGGAACAGGACGUCAAAGAGGGUGAAAACCCCGUAUGCAGCCUCCGCUGAACCGACAGUUGGCUUUCUAAGAGUCGGGUUGUUUGGGAUUGCAGCCCUAAACGGGAGAUAAACUUCUUCUAAGGCUAAAUAUCUAUGGGAAACCGAUAGCGAACAAGUACUGUGAAGGAAAGGUGAAAAGAACUUUGAAAAGAGGGUUAAAAGACUUGAAA
This 405-nucleotide ribosomal RNA is filed under the name Colpoda sp. RNAcentral's name for it is "eukaryotic LSU rRNA". It matches the Rfam family "Eukaryotic large subunit ribosomal RNA", at positions 1 to 404 of the family's 3401-position model. Lineage: Eukaryota; Ciliophora; Colpodea; Colpodida; Colpodidae. The record is from RNAcentral.